This 468-nucleotide ribosomal RNA is filed under the name uncultured bacterium. Its description in RNAcentral is "partial 16S ribosomal RNA". It matches the Rfam family "Bacterial small subunit ribosomal RNA", at positions 28 to 507 of the family's 1533-position model. The record is from RNAcentral.
GACGAACGCUGGCGGCGUGCUUAACACAUGCAAGUCGAACGGAAAGGCCCUGCUAUUGUGGGGUGCCCGAGUGGCGAACGGGUGCGUAUCACGUGUGUAACCUGCUCUUGACUUUGGGAUAACUUCAGGAAACUGGGCCUAAUACAGGAUAGGAGCUCCUGCUGCAUGGUGGGCGUUGGAAAGUUUCGGCGGGUGGGGAUGGACUCGCGGCUUAUCAGCUUGUUGGUGGGGUAGUGGCAUACCAAGGCUUUGACGGGUAGCCGGCCUGAGAGGGUGACCGGCCACAUUGGGACUGAGAGACGGCGCAGACUGCUAUGUUAGGCAGCAGGGGGAAAUAUUACACAAUGGUCGGAAGCCUGAUGCAGAGACGCCGCGUGCGGAAUGACGGCCUUCUGGGUGUAAACCGCUGUCGCCUGUGACGAAGCGGGAGUGACGGUAAUGAAUAAAUAAGCACCGGCUAACUACGUG